CACGGCGCACGGGUGCGUAACACGUGGGUAAUCUGCCCUCCGGUGGGGAAUAACCCCGCGAAAGCGGGGCUAAUUCCGCAUUACAUUCCCCUCGGCAAAGCCACGCCGGAGGAGGAGCCCGCGCCCGAUUAGCUUGUUGGUAGGGUAACGGCCUACCAAGGCGAUGAUCGGUAGCUGGUCUGAGAGGAUGGCCAGCCACACUGGAACUGAGACACGGUCCAGACUCCUACGGGAGGCAGCAGUGGGGAAUCUUGCGCAAUGGGCGAAAGCCUGACGCAGCGACGCCGCGUGGGGGAUGAAGCUUCUCGGAGUGUAAACCCCUUUCGACUGGGACGAAUGACGGUACCAGUAGAAGAAGCCCCGGCUA
Molecule: ribosomal RNA, 367 nt
Filed under: uncultured soil bacterium
Lineage: Bacteria
Description: bacterial SSU rRNA
Rfam family: Bacterial small subunit ribosomal RNA
Source: RNAcentral